GACGUAGGGGGCCAGCGUUGUUCGGAAUUACUGGGUGUAAAGGGUUCGUAGGCGGUGCGGCAAGUCGGGAGUGAAAUCUCUGGGCUCAACCCAGAGGCUGCUUCCGAAACUGCUGUGCUUGAGUGUGGGAGAGGCGCGUGGAAUUGCAGGUGUAGCGGUGAAAUGCGUAGAUAUCUGGAGGAACACCGGUGGCGAAGGCGGCAUCCUGGACCGGUAUUGACGCUGAGGCGCGAAAGCUAGGGGAGCAAACGGG
Molecule: ribosomal RNA, 253 nt
Filed under: uncultured bacterium
Lineage: Bacteria
Description: partial 16S ribosomal RNA
Rfam family: Bacterial small subunit ribosomal RNA
Source: RNAcentral